Molecule: long non-coding RNA, 1617 nt
Filed under: Felis catus (domestic cat)
Lineage: Eukaryota; Metazoa; Chordata; Mammalia; Carnivora; Felidae
Description: lncRNA (ENSFCAG00000042080.2)
Source: RNAcentral
GGAGUGCCUGGCUGGCUCAGAAGGUUGAGCGUCCAACUCUUGAUUUCCACUCUGGUCCCAGGAUCAUGGGAUCGAGCCCUGCAUUGGGCUCUGUGCUGAGCAUGGAGCCUGAUUGAGAUUCUCUCUCUCUCUCUCUCUCUCUCUCUGUUCAUCUCCCUUGCGUGCUCUCUCUCUCUUAAAUUAAAAAAAAAAAAAAGAAUUGCAGGCAUGCAUGACUCCUGCCUAGUGGGAUCUCACCAACUGUUGGGAAAGCUAGCUAACCCCUCUGAGCUUCAGAUGAUUCAACUAUGAGGUGGGGAUAACAAUUCCUACCUGAGGGGUUACAUGAACUAGAAUUUGCAAACACACCAACUGGAGAGCAGGGUGUACAGGAGGCUCUUGGUAAAUGACAGGGAUGCACCAUGAUACAGAUGCUUGACCUGGGAUUGUAGCAAAUUCCAUAGAGCAGAAAAGAGCAUGAAUGUAUAACACUGAGCUCUUUGGUACUUGUAUAUUGUUUUUAAAUAUGUCUGCUUGCAAGAGGCUUUGUAAAGGUCAGCUCUUCCCAGCUUAAUAUGGAAGAUGAUAAAAUCAUCUGGCAGUUUGAGAAGAAAAGGCAGUUGGAUUUAAACAUCACCCUCCCCCCGUGAUUGACAUUUUCUUUUACCAAUUGAGGUGAGAUUUCCUCAUGUUAUUCUACAAAGAAGACUGUGGUGGUGCUCGGCUACGGCUUGGGUGGCUUGUUCCCUGUUUACACCCAACUAUUAUCCUUAUUCUGUCAUUGUCAGUUACUGAAGAAUCCAUCAUGCCCAGGACUCAUGAGAGGGCUUCAUUUCCACUUCCCAAAGAACAGUGGCUGGGGCAGACAACUUCAGGAGAGACCCUGGGUUGCCUGUUUCUGCACAGUCUGCCUGUCAUCUCUUACGGGACCUUCACACAUCAGUGACACCGAUUAUCUCACGUCACAGCCCAUCAGUUGACUGAACUCCAGAAAAAUGUGAAAUUGUCUAACAAGCCUCCAGAUGUGAAUGGCUCCGCUUUGGCCUAAUCACACAUGAUGUUCUCCCAUGUCAUCUGUUCCCAUAGAGUGGCUGCAGCACUCAUCUGUUAGACAAAUACAAUUUCUAGAGCUCUGACUGGGCUAUGCCAGUUACAAGUUUGUUUGUUUGUUUGUUUGUUUGUUUGUUUGUUUGUUUUAAUCCCCAUUCCUCCAUUUCGGGGUGAUUUCCAUUCAUUCUUCUGACUGCACCCUACCAUGCCCUUCUUCCACCCUAUAAUCUUUCCAUCAUCUCAUUCCCUAAAAUUGAUCUAGGUAAUCUGGCAAAAUUAUUUUAAGCACAGGCUUUUAACUGUGUUUGGAGUGAUAGAGCAUAUUGAAAGCUUUGGAACCUCAACUGGGAGUAAUGCACACAUCCUUGUAUAUAUGUCCAACAAGUCUUGGCAGUUUGGAAGCUUAUAUGCUGUUCCCUUUGUGCCCAUUCUCUCUUGAAAAACUAUCAUACCAGGGCCUUUAUAAUCGACCAGGUGUCAGUGGGGAUGGUUGCGGUAAGAACGGUCUCCUUCAAAAGGGUACACAUUGUCUGAAGUGUAAGGAACUGAGGUGGUUGUAGAGAUGAAUAAAAUGGUGGUUCUCCUUCA